CGGGGCGUGGCGCAGUUUGGUUAGCGCACCAGUCUGGGGGACUGGGGGGCGCAGGUUCAAAUCCUGCCGCUCCGACCA
Molecule: transfer RNA, 78 nt
Filed under: Hyphomicrobiaceae bacterium
Lineage: Bacteria; Pseudomonadati; Pseudomonadota; Alphaproteobacteria; Hyphomicrobiales; Hyphomicrobiaceae
Also listed under: 1 other name
Description: tRNA-Pro
Rfam family: tRNA
About the family: Transfer RNA (tRNA) molecules are approximately 80 nucleotides in length.
Source: RNAcentral